This 460-nucleotide ribosomal RNA is filed under the name uncultured bacterium. RNAcentral's name for it is "partial 16S ribosomal RNA". It matches the Rfam family "Bacterial small subunit ribosomal RNA", at positions 338 to 795 of the family's 1533-position model. The record is from RNAcentral.
CCUACGGGAGGCAGCAGUGAGGAAUAUUGGUCAAUGGACGAGAGUCUGAACCAGCCAAGUAGCGUGAAGGAUGACUGCCCUAUGGGUUGUAAACUUCUUUUAUAAAGGAAUAAAACGAGGCACGUGUGCCUUUUUGCAUGUACUUUAUGAAUAAGGAUCGGCUAACUCGGUGCCAGCAGCCGCGGUACUACGGAGGAUCCGAGCGUUAUCCGGAUUUAUUGGGUUUAAAGGGAGAGUAGAUGGGUUGUUAAGUCAGUUGUGAAAGUUUGCGGCUCAACCGUAAAAUUGCAAUUGAUACUGGCAGUCUUGAGUACAGUUGAGGUAGGCGGAAUUCGUGGUGUAGCGGUGAAAUGCUUAGAUAUCACGAAGAACCCCGAUUGCGAAGGCAGCUUACUAAACUGUGACUGACAUUGAUGCUCGAAAGUGUGGGUAGCAAACAGGAUUAGAUACCCGAGUAGUC